UGGGGAAUAUUGGACAAUGGGCGCAAGCCUGAUCCAGCCAUGCCGCGUGAGUGAUGAAGGUCCUAGGGUUGUAAAGCUCUUUCACCGGUGAAGAUAAUGACGGUAACCGGAGAAGAAGCCCCGGCUAACUUCGUGCCAGCAGCCGCGGUAAUACGAAGGGGGCUAGCGUUGUUCGGAUUUACUGGGCGUAAAGCGCACGUAGGCGGACUAUUAAGUCAGGGGUGAAAUCCCGGGGCUCAACCCCGGAACUGCCUUUGAUACUGGUAGUCUUGAGUUCGAGAGAGGUGGGUGGAAUUCCGAGUGUAGAGGUGAAAUUCGUAGAUAUUCGGAGGAACACCAGUGGCGAAGGCGGCUCACUGGCUCGAUACUGACGCUGAGGUGCGAAAGCGUGGGGAGCAAACAGG
This 404-nucleotide ribosomal RNA is filed under the name Actinomycetes bacterium. RNAcentral's name for it is "Actinobacteria bacterium partial 16S ribosomal RNA". It matches the Rfam family "Bacterial small subunit ribosomal RNA", at positions 355 to 776 of the family's 1533-position model. The record is from RNAcentral. Lineage: Bacteria; Bacillati; Actinomycetota; Actinomycetes.